AAAAGCGGAGGAAAAGAAACUAACAAGGAUUCCCCUAGUAGCGGCGAGCGAAGCGGGAAGAGCUCAAAUUUAUAAUCUGGCACCUUCGGUGUCCGAGUUGUAAUCUCUAGAAAUGUUUUCCGCGUUGGACCGCACACAAGUCUGUUGGAAUACAGCGGCAUAGUGGUGAGACCCCCGUAUAUGGUGCGGACGCCCAGCGCUUUGUGAUACAUUUUCGAAGAGUCGAGUUGUUUGGGAAUGCAGCUCAAAUUGGGUGGUAAAUUCCAUCUAAAGCUAAAUAUUGGCGAGAGACCGAUAGCGAACAAGUACCGUGAGGGAAAGAUGAAAAGCACUUUGGAAAGAGAGUUAACAGUACGUGAAAUUGUUGGAAGGGAAACGCUUGAAGUCAGACUUGCUUGCCGAGCAAUCGGUUUGCAGGCCAGCAUCAGUUUUCCGGGAUGGAUAAUGGUAGAGAGAAGGUAGCAGUUUCGGCUGUGUUAUAGCUCUCUGCUGGAUACAUCUUGGGGGACUGAGGAACGCAGUGUGCCUUUGGCGGGGGUUUCGACCUCUUCACACUUAGGAUGCUGGUGGAAUGGCUUUAAACGACCCGUCUUGAAACAACGGACCCA
This 608-nucleotide ribosomal RNA is filed under the name Rhodotorula mucilaginosa. RNAcentral describes it as "partial large subunit ribosomal RNA". It matches the Rfam family "Eukaryotic large subunit ribosomal RNA", at positions 46 to 669 of the family's 3401-position model. The record is from RNAcentral. Lineage: Eukaryota; Fungi; Basidiomycota; Microbotryomycetes; Sporidiobolales; Sporidiobolaceae.